GGUUGACCUCGGAUCAGGUAGGGAUACCCACUGAACUUAA
This 40-nucleotide ribosomal RNA is filed under the name Phaeopyxis punctum. Its description in RNAcentral is "partial 28S ribosomal RNA". Lineage: Eukaryota; Fungi; Ascomycota; Lecanoromycetes. The record is from RNAcentral.